This 911-nucleotide long non-coding RNA is filed under the name Olea europaea subsp. europaea. Lineage: Eukaryota; Viridiplantae; Streptophyta; Magnoliopsida; Lamiales; Oleaceae. The record is from RNAcentral.
UAAUUUGAAUUGCCAACUCUGACAAUUGAUUGGGGUAGGGUCGUUAAUUUCUCUUUCUUCUAUGGCCAGAACUGAUUCUGGCCAAAAAAACUUCAACCGUAAUUGUAGAGGAAUUAAUCAAUAUAAAUCUACAGCUUAUUGUUGUUUAAGAGUCCCAAUUUCUCCGGGCAUGAAAUUCUUAAAAUUUCACAUUCUGCAACGGAAUUGUGGACAAUUUGGUACUGAUGAAUUUGGAUCCAGCUACAACGAAAUUGGCAAUUGGGUUUUUAGGGCUGCAUUUCAGCAUUUGGGUUUCAUUUCAUAUUGAGAAUCGUGAUAUCCUGGCACCCGAAACCUCUAGUUGAAAAAUUCACAUAUGUGGCAGGCGCUAGUGGUGAACGGUGGCUGUGGUAUGCGGUGGCCGUGGCCAUGACGGCGACAGCGGUGCGUGGGUUUUGAUCGGGUACGUGGGAUGGAGUUGGGGGAUGAGCUUUGCGAAGAUAUGUUUUUUCUUUUUCUUUUUUUAUUCUGUUGGAAAAAUAUAAAAUUACAAUUUUGUCCUUUCAAAUUUUAUCAAAAUAGUGUUAAAUUGAUUUUUUUUUUUUUUAGGUUGAUUGAACGGUCAAAUGUCCAUUUGUCAUCCAGAUGCAAUCGACAUGAAAUGUUUGGGACUGUGUGCAAAAAUAAAAGAUUUGGAUAUAUUCUGUAACUAAUUGAAAGGUUUGGGACCCCAAGUGCAAUUUUUGCCUAUCUUAAAUAAAGCUGAGCUUUGAGGAACAUAUUACGAUACAGACAAAUUAUGUAUGGCCAAAUUUAAGAGUUGAUCUAAAUAUUGCCCUUGUUUGAGCCCUAUUUUUGGGGGAAAAAAUGAUUUUUUGAAUAGUGUACUGAUUAAAAAUGUGUAGUUAAAAAUAAGGAAAAGUCCUAGAUUU